Molecule: long non-coding RNA, 875 nt
Organism: Felis catus (domestic cat)
Lineage: Eukaryota; Metazoa; Chordata; Mammalia; Carnivora; Felidae
Exons: 2
Source: RefSeq, a predicted model, not a curated record
UCACAGGCGCCUCAGGGACGUGGGAAUCUACGGAAGCCACUAGAGGCCACUCUAGGCGUGGCCUGGGAGCCCAGAGGCUGCUGACUGGAUUCCUGCUUCCCAGGAGCUGCCUCCUGACUCCCCUGGAUGCUGCAGCUGUCCCCUGAAGUCCCCCAAACCCAUCAUGAUACACAGCGCAUGGCGGGAAUUUGAUACAAAUUUGCUGAUUGAAUCCAUGGCACCCUUUGAGAUGCGGUUCUGUUGGUUUUGAAUGUCUGUGGUCUUCAAGAUCCUCUACAACUGAGAUUCUUAACUUAGGGUCUAGGAAGCCUCUGAAACUGGAUGUAAACUACAGGCUCACGUGUGCUUUUCAGGGGGAGGCAUCUACAGAACUCAACAUAUUCUCUAUACUGUUUAAGGCCCCCAAGAACUCGAGAAACACUGGGAAAAAUGAAGAAGCAUGUGCCACUGGAAAAGUCAUCCUAAACCACUGUUUUACAGAGAGCGGCACUCCAGGACCGGGAGGAGCCUUUGGGAUGGUCCAGUGAGGCUAAGCCGACAGAUCCGAACAGAUGCCUGAGGACCCAGACAGAUGCCUGGAUGGGAAAAACGUUUGAUGGAUUUCACGCAGGAGGAUCUGACAAUGUAUAUUACGGAUGGCAUAUGCAGUUUCCAUGGUGGGGAGAGUGUCAGUUGGGAGUUUCUUACCAACAGAUACCUGAGUCAAGAGGGCACUCAAAAAUGACAGCAUCCAUUCCAAACUGGAUAGCAGUGAACAUCUUGGCAUUUCUCUUCCUUGGAAAAGAAUUUUAUAAUUGCCAAUCAAAAUGGACCUGAGACCUACUGUCCAGGAAAAGUUGGUGCCUUUUGGCAUAAGUACACUUGCUCCGCUCUUG